GCACAGCAAGUUGAUUUCUUCUUUUAUAAUUUUCUUCUUCUCUCUCUUUUCUUGGUCUUCUUCCUUCUUCCUUCUUCGUUUCUUUUUCUUUUUUCUUUUUUCUUUUUCUUCCCGAGAGACACAGGGAGAGACGAAAGAGAGAGAGAUCGAGAGAUAGAGAGAGAGUUGAGAGUAGAGAUUGAGAAGGAGAUAGAGAGAUGAGGCCGAGAGAUCGAGAGAGAGAUAGAGAAGAAAGGAUCCGGUGGAUCCGUGAGCUGGAGACCCGACAGAGGAGGAGGGAAAUCCGACCGCUCAGAGGUCCGGAUUACCGGUGGGUGGUGCUGGGUUGUUGCUGGCAGAGCCAAAGCCGACAAUUCUAGGCGGAAUCCAGGAACCUGUGACUUGCAACCCGCUAGACCCGAGAGAGAAAACUUGGGCGAUUCGUGGACCCGUGAGCCGAACCCGAUCCUUCCGGAGGUCCGAUCCUCCAUGUUCGGUGGCCAGAGUUGAUAUCCGGAGGUCCUAGUAGCGGUUUCCGGUGAGCUCGUGACCCGUAUGUGUGCAAAACCCGAACAACCCGAAACCGCGACCCGUUGAACAUGAGAGGAGACCCGAUUCUCCAUGUGCGUUUUUCGGAGAAAUCAGAGGCGAUUUUAAUGGGUUUUUGAGGAAAAUUCCUAUGGUAAAAGCUCGACCCUGACGUUAAUGACAAAUCCAGAUGACCCAGUAAGACGAUGUCAUUUCUUGGUAUUGGCGUAGACCUCGCUAAGAGCAAUAGAUCAUUGUGGUCCGACCAAAUCUUUACUUUGUAAUCUAUGUUUCUUUUUGGAGUUCAUGGCAUUGUAAAGAAUUAUUAAUAGACAGAAAUAAUAAAAUAGGAAGUUAAAAUUUAGAUGUUGUAAA
Molecule: long non-coding RNA, 882 nt
Organism: Alnus glutinosa
Lineage: Eukaryota; Viridiplantae; Streptophyta; Magnoliopsida; Fagales; Betulaceae
Exons: 3
Source: RefSeq, a predicted model, not a curated record